CACCAGGAUGCGGCAGAAAAAGCUAUUUGUCUAUCAAUCUAUCUAUCAUCCAUCUCUAAAUGCAUUCUCUCUUUUAUUUUCCAUCCGUGAAUAGUUUUAUGUUCAAUUACUAAAACUAGAAUGUAGAGUUGGCGAAGUUGGAUUAUAUCCCAACGCCCCAGAAAAAAAACCUUUAUACGACUAAAGAAGAGUAAACAGGCAGAAAUACGUCAGUAAUUUUAAUAUGCAUGCUUUUUUGCAUUUCUAUAUAUUCUUCUUUUUUUUUGCUCAACCCAAAAGAACCGUGCCAUUGAGCGGGUUGCAGGGUUGCCGCUGACUCGCUGCAGGACGCACAGAAUCUGAUCAAAUACAGAGACGCGUUGAGUGCCUCAAGCAGCGCUUUAUAACUUCAAGCCUUUCACAUCCCUUUCCCCUCAAUCUGUCCCAGGAAGGAGCUCACCGGCUUUAUUUUAACGUCUCGAAAAAAAGAAAAAGGAAAGUUUUCAAAUCAGUCCUCAUUCUGCUCUCGCCCCCUGUCCAACCCGCAGUCAUUCCCUAAACAUUACCUCGGGAGAAGUAUAAAACUAAUGGUUGCGUCGGCUGUUCACUUUACCACCAAGUUUUUCUUUCCUAAACAAUCAACGAGUAUUUUUUCCUAUACCGCAUUUUCCCCAUGAACACUCGCGUUCCUCCUCCGAUGCGCUCACACGCCCGCGCACGUACGUAUAUGCACGUACACAUGUACACAUUUCCUUUCUUUCUUUUUUUCCCCCCACACCCACCAAUAUACAUAGUCCUGCACUGAGAGCUAGAGGGAGGGUAGAAGAGAGAGGGAUGGGGGGAGGAGGAGGGGGGCCGGUGGGGAGGGGUGUUUGGGUGGAGGGGGGGGGGGGGGGGGGGGGGGGGGGGGGGGGGGUAUGGGAGAAAGUUAGCUACGCUAAGUUUGCUUCGCAGUGUUGGAGAUUAGGUUUAUUGCGACCUUUGGUGAACCGUCUGCAAGUGACAGACAGUUAAGUUUCCUUAACGUCCCCUGCUCUAUGCUUUAUGGGCCCAAUGACACAUGAGGACUUCACACUAUUGACUGGUAUAGGCAAAUGUUCCAUCUGCCCUACACCAAUAAAUACUGCAGAAUGUAGAUAAUAGUGUUUAAUGGAACAUUUUAUGAGCCAAAGCUGAAGAGUAACAUAUUCACUGCCCUCCAGAAAGGUGGAUUUAAUUAUUGAAUCCGGAACAGCUCUUGCUCGACGAGUAAAGACAAAUAAAGUUUGACUGUUAAAUAGCAUGCAGAAAGAAAAAUUUCCAACAAUUCUGUAUUUUCCACUGGUGGUGCCAUUUUCGACAGAAUGACAGAAUUACGUAAUUCAUAGUUAAAAUCAUAAGAUUACUUCUAUUUUUUUGUUAUAAUUUGUGGUUUUCUGUUAAAGGCCCACUAGGCAUGUAUUGUUUUUAUAUUAGCCAAUUACUUUACUUUUUAUACACACAUAACCUUGUAGGUCUAUAUCAAUAAUUUAUUUUUUAUAUUUCCUGGACUAAACUUACAUCAAGGAUUACCUUGAUGAAAGUAUGGCCCACCUAAAUAAGGAGCUGUGAAAACAAACUGUGCAGCCUUUUGGUAAAUACUGCUCGGGCUGACUCAUUGGGUGGUGGAAAAGGAAAAUAUUCAGUGUAGUCAUUGGUUACACCAUAAGCUUUUCUGACUGAGCAUGCGCAUUUACUUAAAAAAAUAAUGCUUGUCGAAACACCUCGCAGAUGUAGGCCUAUGCGCUCAUUUUGGAAAAGAGUGGAGCAUUAACGGCAACCCUAAUGGUAAACACUUGACCUUUAUUUGGUAUUGUCCUAAUUGUUAUCGUGUCUGUUGCUUCCACAGACAUAAUUUCCCUAAAUAUUAUAUGCAAGCAUUUAUGCAUGCUAUAGAGCGUUAUCAGAUCAUCGUCUUGGUUAACAUAUAGCCAGCUUAGUUGUGUGUGACCUGAUAUAUCCUGCUCAACCGUCCGUUAGGCUGCCCUGACACUAAUGUGUGGUUUUGUGAACGAUUUAGACAAGGCCAAAAGCUAACCCUGUAGGCCAAAGAAAAAGUGAAUUCAAUAUUUUUAAACAUUUCGUUCUCUUUCCAUUGCUGUAUGUGUUGAUUUGGUUCUCUUUGUAGCCAUUUCUUCUGCCUCACAUUUUUAGUUUGUUUAUUUUAGCAACCCUAAUAAAAUAAACAUAACAAUAAGUUGCAUGCCCCUUAAUUUGACAACAACACAUUUACAUAUUGUGUGUUG
RNAcentral lists this long non-coding RNA (2243 nucleotides) under Gadus morhua (Atlantic cod). RNAcentral describes it as "lncRNA (ENSGMOG00000023906.1)". The record is from RNAcentral. Lineage: Eukaryota; Metazoa; Chordata; Actinopteri; Gadiformes; Gadidae.